Coccinella septempunctata (seven-spotted ladybird) is the source of this 2151-nucleotide long non-coding RNA. RefSeq lists it as uncharacterized. Lineage: Eukaryota; Metazoa; Arthropoda; Insecta; Coleoptera; Coccinellidae. The record is from RefSeq and is a predicted model, not a curated record. The transcript is spliced from 3 exons.
UAUUACCUAAAAAAGCGUAAGAAUUUCGAAAAUUUUUGACGUCUACGAAAAUUUGAUAAAUAAUUUCCAAGAGCAUAGAGGUAGUUUCAAUCAUGUUUGACGUUUCGAAAGGGGUUUUUGCAGUUUUCGGAAACUCGAGUCGAUUAUUAUAUAAAUAAUGCCAAAAUAGGAAAAAUAAAUGCUAGAGAAUCAUUCUCCAUAUCCUGUAGCAUCUACAGGUACCCAUAUUUCGGCUCAAUAUGUACAGGUAAGUUUGCAAUUUUCGAUAUUACGAAACCACCUCAGUUAAGCACCGUUCAUAACCUUCGUUUUGGCCCUGAAUAUUUUCAGUAAUUUCGUGAUUUUUAGCGUUGAAAUUGCCAAAAUAAAUUUAUAUUAGGAAAGUCGAGGUCACUAUUCAGCCAAAACUAACUUAAAAUUUUAUAAUUUCCAUAAUUUUUCAAUUCGUAUAACGUGUUUUCCUGUCAUUCGGGUAGAAGUGUUGUUGGAGCCUUAGGCCAGUUUCAUUUGAUUGUUGACAGACCGUGAAAAAAUUGAUGUAAAUUUUUAAGGUUUAAUUAUUAUUCAAAUCAAAGGAUAUAUUUACUACAUUUCUCCCCGUACAAUAGCAUAGCAGUGAUAGCACUUCGAAGCUCACAUCACAGAUGAAUAUUUUCCCAUAAUCCGAAAGUUAGGUUAUUAUUGAAUUUCCAGAUAUGAAAGACAGUUCUUGGACGUGAAUCUGUAUAAAAAUCAGAUGUAAUAACUGAUAGUUUAUUUUGUCACUAACAAUACUUAUUUUUCAGGCACAUUCAUCAUAUCAAGAAAUGUAUGAAAUUCACAAAUGUCAAAUAUCAUCUCUCGGAAAGUCUCAUUUUAAAUAAAAAAAGCUUCUUCAGGGGUAAGCUUCUAAGAAAUUGUUUCAGAAGAGUUAGUAUUUGAAGUAUAUGAUCCAUUUGUCAAGUUUACAUAAUGGAUUUCAGAUUAAAUUACAUGCAAACUCACAGAAUGAGAAACAUCCUUAGUCUUGGUGUAUGAACAUAAGAAUUUCUAGAUAACAAACGGUUCUUGGGGGCAUAUAUAAAUUUAUCAGAUCAAGAAAUUUUUUUCAGAGUAAGUUCAUAAAGCAAUUCGUUCAGGAGAGUUUCCAUGUGAAGUAGAUGAUCUAUUUCUCUUCUUUUCAACUGAGUACAUCAGAUUUCUGACAACGUUCAAGCAAUUGGGUAGUGUAUGGAGAUGAUUUUCUUAGUCUAGAUCUAUGGCAAAAUACGUUUUGAGAUAAGUUAUUCUGUUGGAAUUAUAUAAUGAUUAUUGAAACACAAUCUAUGAGUGAGCUUUUGCGUUAAAAUUCUAUGUUUAUAGACAUUUGUCGAGUUUUCUCAUUAAAGGUAAGAUUUUUCUCUUAUCGUAGAGUGAGGGACUCUGUAGGUUUUUGUUCGAAAUAAACUGAAUUAAAUGUUAUAAUACUUGAAAUCUUCAUAAUUAGGCUUCUUUUCAAUUGCAUAUAACAGAUUCUGGCCAAUUUUCAAGCUUUUUGAUUGGUGUACAAGGAUUAUUCUAUUUGCUCAUUCCAGAUAAUAGGAGAAAUGUUUUCAAUUAACUCAUUCGAGUGGAAUAAUAAAAUGAUUAUUGGGAUGAUAAAAAGAUUAUUGAAACACAAUCUAUGAGUAAGGUUUUACGUUAAAAUUCUAUAUUUAUAUAGACUUUCGCCAAGUUUUUGUCAUUUGAGGUUAGUUUUUUUUCUUAUCGUAGAUUAAGGGAUUUUUUAGAUUUUUGUUCAAAAUGAACUGAAUUAAAUAUUAUAAUGCUUGAACUUUUUUUAAUUAGGCUUCUUUCCCAUUCCAUAUAACAGAUUUUGGCCAAUUUUUAAGCUUUUUGAUUAUUGUACGAGGAUUAUUGUAUUUAAUCAUUCCAGAUAAAAGGAAAAAUGUUUUCGAAUAACUUAUUCGAGUGGAAUGAUAUAAUGAUUAUUGAAAUACAUUGGCAGGGUGUGUUUUUUGCGUUAAAAUUCUACUUUUAUAGACUUUUGGCCAGUUAUUCUCAUUUCAGGUUAGUUUUCUGUUUCAUCGUAGAGUAAGAACUUUGUGAGUUUCAAUUCAAGAUGAACUGAAUGCAUGGAAUCUCCGUUAUAAGGCUUCUGUCCAACUGAAUAUAACUGAUUUUUGAGCAGUG